AAUGAACGCUGGCGGCAUGCCUAACACAUGCAAGUCGAACGAGACCUUCGGGUCUAGUGGCGCACGGGUGCGUAACGCGUGGGAACCUGCCCUUAGGUUCGGACUAACUCCCCGAAAGGGGUGCUAAUACCGGAUAAUGUCUUCGGACCAAAGAUUUAUCGCCUUUGGAUGGGCCCACGUUGGAUUAGCUAGUUGGUAGGGUAAAAGCCUACCACGGUGACGAUCCGUAGCUGGUUUGAGAGGGUGAUCACCUACACUGGGAUAGAGACACGGCCCAGACACUGGCGCGAGGACGCAGUGCGGACUCCUACGCGAGGCAGGAGUGGGGAAUCUAGGACAGUGGGGGGAGGCAUGAAGCAGCAAGGGCUGGUAAGUGAUGUAGGCCGUAAAGUAGUAAAGCUCUUUUACCCGGGAUGAUAAUGACGGUACCGGAAGAAUAAGCACCGGCUAACUACGUG
RNAcentral lists this ribosomal RNA (458 nucleotides) under uncultured bacterium. RNAcentral describes it as "partial 16S ribosomal RNA". It matches the Rfam family "Bacterial small subunit ribosomal RNA", at positions 29 to 507 of the family's 1533-position model. The record is from RNAcentral.